CACCAUGCUGUGGUGUCACCUGUGGACCCAGGCGAGCUGAUGGCCGACCGCAGAAACGCGGACUCCCAGACUGCAGGGGAGCACUUGGGGCAGCCCCCAGAAGGACCACUGCUGGAUCCCAGGGAGAACCUGCUGGCGUUGGCUGUGAUCCUGGAAUGAGGCCCUUUCAAAAGCGUCAUCCACACCAAAGGCAAAUGUCCCCAAGUGAGUGGGCUCCCCGCUGUCACUGCCAGUCACCCACAGGAAGGGACUGGUGAUGGGCUGUCUCUACCCGGAGCGUGCGGGAUUCAGCACCAGGCUCUUCCCAGUACCCCAGACCCACUGUGGGUCUUCCCGUGGGAUGCGGGAUCCUGAGACCGAAGGGUGUUUGGUUUAAAAAGAAGACUGGGCGUCCGCUCUUCCAGGACGGCCUCUGUGCUGCUGGGGUCACGCGAGGCUGUUUGCAGGGGACACGGUCACAGGAGCUCUUCUGCCCUGAACGCUCCCAACCUGCCUCCCGCCCGGAAGCCACAGGACCCACUCAUGUGUGUGCCCACAAGUGUAGUUAGCCGUCCACACCGAGGAGCCCCCGGAAGUCCCCACUGGGCUUCAGUGUCCUCUGCCACAUUCCCUGGGAGGAACAAUGUCCCUCGGCUGUUCCGGUGAAAAGUUGAGCCACCUUUGGAAGACGCACGGGUGGAGUUUGCCAGAAGAAAGGCUGUGCCAGGGCCGUGUUUGGCUACAGGGGCUGCCGGGGCUCUUGGC
This 744-nucleotide long non-coding RNA is filed under the name Homo sapiens (human). RNAcentral's name for it is "non-protein coding lnc-DNMT3L-1:1". Lineage: Eukaryota; Metazoa; Chordata; Mammalia; Primates; Hominidae. The record is from RNAcentral.